GCCAGGCGUGGUGGCGGGCGCCUGUAAUCCCAGCUACUCGGGAGGCUGAGGCAGGAGAAUCACUUGAGCCCAGGAGUUGGAGGUUGCAGUGAGCACAAACUGAGCCACUGCACUCCAGCCUAGGUGACAGAGCGAGACUCUGUCUCAA
RNAcentral lists this non-coding RNA (148 nucleotides) under Nomascus leucogenys (northern white-cheeked gibbon). Lineage: Eukaryota; Metazoa; Chordata; Mammalia; Primates; Hylobatidae. The record is from Rfam by way of RNAcentral.